GGGCGGAUGGUCGAGUGGUAAGAUUCCGCCCCGACAAGGCGGCGAUCGGCGGUUCAAAUCCGCCUCCGCCCA
Molecule: transfer RNA, 72 nt
Filed under: Candidatus Thorarchaeota archaeon
Lineage: Archaea; Promethearchaeati; Candidatus Thorarchaeota
Also listed under: 1 other name
Description: tRNA-Val
Rfam family: tRNA
About the family: Transfer RNA (tRNA) molecules are approximately 80 nucleotides in length.
Source: RNAcentral